AUUUUUGGUUUGAAUAUGGUCUCUCUCUCUCUCGCUCUCAACACUCCCACUCUCUCCCUUCCUUUCUCUCUCCUCGCUGCAAUACCAGUACGCUCGGUUCAAUAUUCUCGAAGCUCCACCAGAUUUCUCUAGCAGAUCAUCCAGAGUACCUCUGGAAGCGUACUCCAAGAAGACAUUGUAAAACUCACAUCCGAUUCAACCAAAGCUCCACCAGAUUUCUUGAGCAGAUCAGCCAGAGUACCUCUGGAAGCAUACUCCAAGAAGAUAUUGUAAAAUCGCUAACCGUUUUCAAUGGUGCGGUCGUCUCCGUGACAGCGAACGAUUUGUGGGCAAUCUCUGAGAUGGGCUAAAAUUUCUCUCUCACUUUGAAGCGAAGAAUACUCGAAAACAACAGCUGAUUUCACCGCCAUCAACUGAGGGAGCUUGACCAGACCAAAAUCUCAUGCCGGGAUCGCUAAAUUCAAGCUCUCUACAUUCAAUUUCGUUUGAUGCUGAAACUCUACAAAGACAGGUUGAAGUUGCUGAAGUUAUGCUUCCAGAGGAACAUCAGUUAAGAAACUCCUAACAACCACUGAACCUGAAGGAGGAGAGAUUGGCUUUGGAAUUGCAGCCCUAGAAAUUCCCCCAAACUAUUGACAGAGGAAAGGGGAUGGAUCAGAAGUACAUGGACUGGUGGGAGAAAUUAUGAUUCUGAAAAUCAGUUCGAUCUUGUGAAUUAGUUUAGGAGUUGUAACUCCAAAACAGAGGUUAGCUUGCUGGACUUGUAGUGGCCUGGAUCCUUCUUCUGAGAAACUUGAUGGGAAGACUGAAAAUAGGUUGUUGGAAUUCAUUAUCUGUUUGUGGAAUUUAUCCUUUGCCCCCCUUUCUUGUUAUUCUCCUUCUCCUCCUCUUCCUCUGCAGAGACAUCUACUAAAGAUUUUAAGGCAACUUUAUUAGUUCUCUUUGUUAGUGUAUUAGAUAUGUAUAUAUUAUAUGCUUUCUCAUAUGGAAGGAACAACAUAUUAAUAAUCUAAACAUGUCAUUAGUGUGACAGUUCUGCUGGUACUUUGGAAACAAGGUACCAAUUUUUGAUUGAAUAAGGAUGGAUUCCUGCAAUAGUUGAAGGCAAUUCAGACCAUGUAAUUGGGUAGACGAAGAAUACUAAAGAGGAACCUUGGUGAUAUGCCUAGCUUAUGAGGCCCAUCCAAAGAUCAUGCUGCCCAGCUGGAUAUUCUUUUCAAAUGGAUGUUAAGAAGUGCCAUUGAAACUGUUGAUGAAUUGGAAAGGCUAUUAUGUUGCGUGACUGAGACAUUGUUUUGGAGAAGAUAUUACUUCGUGAGUCUCAAUUGCUGUGACUGUUACCGUAAUUCUUAUGGGAUGGUAGGAUUUUGUAACUAUGUACUCCUGCGUAUUGUGAUUCUCCUUUCAUGAAUUAAUUUUUAAUUAUCAAAAACAAAAAUAUAAUUGUUAUGUUUAUACCUCCUUGCAGAUUUGAAUUUUCUAAAUACAUUAUGAUUCAGAUACUUGCGUUUCCAUUCUGGUAUUAGGUUAUCUCCAUGUCAACAAUAAAUAAUAAAUGAAUCCUUCUUAAAGGAUCUCAUUCAUCUUUUGUAUUUGAAUCAAUUUCAGGUAUGUUCCAAGGCACUUGCGUCUUAUGGUUUUUGAGUUGGUUAAGAAAAUUCCUUGCGUGCUGUCCAAGAGUGGUUUAUGGAUUCAGAAAAAGUUGCACCUCCCAUUCGAAUAAUAGUUGCUGAUGGAAUUGAGGAUGUUACAAUAAAGGUAUCAUCUGAUACCUGGAAAUUAUUUUUCUGAUAUAUGUAUUUGAGUAGGGAAAAGGCUUGAUGCAUUGAACUGUACUUCUCUUGAGUAUUGGGCAAUUUGUUUUGAGGCUUUCUUUUCAGGUUUAACAUUGAAACACAUUUCUGAAACCAGUGUUGUCUUCAGUUCUUU
Molecule: long non-coding RNA, 1929 nt
Organism: Macadamia integrifolia
Lineage: Eukaryota; Viridiplantae; Streptophyta; Magnoliopsida; Proteales; Proteaceae
Exons: 4
Source: RefSeq, a predicted model, not a curated record